UUCGAUUCCACUACCAUAGGGACGCUGGGCCUGGAAAAACGGAACGGGGUGUGAUUCCCCGACGGUCCCGCCACUGUAAUCGAUGACGAAAGCACAUGAACCAUUGUCCUCGGACGAGAAGGUGCGCAAGUAGGAUGAAUCGUAAGUCAGGAGACGUUUCCAGGUUGUCAUUCUUCG
This 177-nucleotide non-coding RNA is filed under the name Spirochaetota bacterium. Lineage: Bacteria; Pseudomonadati; Spirochaetota. The record is from RNAcentral.